UAGUGUGGGGUACACAUGAGUUGUGU
RNAcentral lists this non-coding RNA (26 nucleotides) under Rattus norvegicus (Norway rat). The record is from RNAcentral. Lineage: Eukaryota; Metazoa; Chordata; Mammalia; Rodentia; Muridae.